RNAcentral lists this long non-coding RNA (414 nucleotides) under Gossypium barbadense (sea-island cotton). Its description in RNAcentral is "long non-coding RNA (GBAR_LNC019196)". Lineage: Eukaryota; Viridiplantae; Streptophyta; Magnoliopsida; Malvales; Malvaceae. The record is from RNAcentral.
AAAACAGCAAAUAACCACACAAAUCCGGGAAUUCAAAACUUGUCAGUGAAAAUGACGACGUUUAAUUGUGGAUCUAAUUGAGAAUAUAAUCAAAUGCGAGGUAACAAAUUAAAAAAAAUAAAAAAACUGCAUUAGAACGAUGAAAAAAUGGGAGGGGCUCAUUGCGCAAAUUUCCCUUUGAUCCAAAAACGCGCGGAUCUGGUCUCAUCCGGGUCGGGUUCAAGCGCGGGUCAUGGCCACCAAAACGGUAUCGUUUGGAAGGUACUGAUGCAAACUUCAAAUGGCAUUGUUUCAAAAAUCAGCAUAAAAAAAAUAAAAAAAACUUAAACUAAACCUGAUAUGCCAUUUGAAACAAAAACCUAAGCGGUCUCCUCUCGUUGCUGCACCGUUUCGUGCCUUUAACCUCCUUCCGGC